Molecule: microRNA precursor, 98 nt
Filed under: Haemonchus contortus (barber pole worm)
Lineage: Eukaryota; Metazoa; Nematoda; Chromadorea; Rhabditida; Trichostrongylidae
Description: microRNA hco-mir-5895 precursor
Source: miRBase by way of RNAcentral
CCAAACCUGCCGAGGUCUAGGCUACCCGUAGCAUCUGUAUGUCUCAAUUUGAAGAUAUGCAUUUGCUGUGGGUGACCAAAGCCCGGUUUAUUGGACCG